This is a long non-coding RNA of Perca fluviatilis (European perch), 385 nucleotides long. RefSeq lists it as uncharacterized. NCBI's taxonomy places the organism in Eukaryota, Metazoa, Chordata, Actinopteri, Perciformes, Percidae. The record is from RefSeq and is a predicted model, not a curated record. The transcript is spliced from 3 exons.
UGUAACAUGUAGAGAUCCAGUCAGAGACGCUAAGUGAACGGACUUUGUGAGGUUUAGUAGGUUGUAGAAGGACAUUGUUAUCCAUUACUGAGGCUGACAACCAGUUAUGCUGUGUUUUGGCAUAUUGAAAUCGACAAGAGGAGACGGACAUUUGUGACUGUAAAAGAGAGAGGAUCGGGGAAGCUCCUCUGGACCACCCAGAGAGCGGUUUUCCAUCCUGCUGGUGUGAUGUAGACUGUCGCUGCUGGUUUCUGUUCUGCUGAUCUUCCUGCUGUGGUUUACCCGGUGCUCUGUCUGCUGCCAUCGCCAAGUUCGCCUUUAUAUCCCCUUGACUGGGAUUCUGACUCCCCUCAUCCGCUCCAUCUACAACUUCCAGUAAGGGGAG